ACUCAAAUGAAUAGACGGGGACCCGCACAAGCGGUGGAUGAUGUGGAUUAAUUCGAUGCAACGCGAAAAACCUUACCUACCCUUGACAUGGAUAGAAGCCUGGAGAGAUUUAGGCGUGCUCGCAAGAGAGCUAUCACACAGGUGCUGCAUGGCUGUCGUCAGCUCGUGUCGUGAGAUGUUGGGUUAAGUCCCGCAACGAGCGCAACCCUUGUUGGUAAUUGCCAUCAUUUAGUUGGGCACUUUACUGAGACUGCCGGUGACAAACCGGAGGAAGGUGGGGAUGACGUCAAGUCCUCAUGGCCCUUAUGGGUAGGGCUUCACACGUCAUACAAUGGUGCAUACAGAGGGUAGCGAAGCUGCGAAGUGGAGCCAAUCUCAGAAAGUGCAUCGUAGUCCGGAUUGGAGUCUGCAACUCGACUCCAUGAAGUUGGAAUCGCUAGUAAUCGCGGAUCAGCAUGUCGCGGUGAAUACGUUCCCGGGUCUUGCACACACCGCCCGU
RNAcentral lists this ribosomal RNA (499 nucleotides) under uncultured bacterium. Its description in RNAcentral is "partial 16S ribosomal RNA". It matches the Rfam family "Bacterial small subunit ribosomal RNA", at positions 899 to 1397 of the family's 1533-position model. The record is from RNAcentral.